UAAAGCCAACUGUUGGGAGGUUUGGGUUAAGAAUUUUCUUGAAAAUUUGCACCCAACCAAACCAACCAACAACUUAUUAUCAUCCAUACUAGCUAGGUAGCAUCCCCAACCUAAACUUGAGUUUAGGGAGGAUUCCUAAACUCGAGUUUAGGAAAACACACACUUUAUAAUAUAAUAUAAUAUAUAGGUCAGAUUGGAUUGGAAUAUGAGCACGAAGGUGAAAGGUCUGUUCAAAGGGCUCAAAUACAUAUCCCAGAUAUUUGAAGAAGAAAAGGAGGCAGAAAUACAGAUAGGGUUUCCUACAGAUGUGAAGCAUGUUGCGCAUAUUGGAUGGGAUGGACCUUCUGCCCAGGAUAACCCAAGCUGGAUGAAGGAUUUCAAAGGGCAAUCAGCCCCACUAGAUGCAACUCCGGGUUUGGGUUCGGGUGACCCCAACACCAACACAGAGGCUUCUGACAUCAAAUGGGCUUCUGAAGAUAAAAAAAGUCGGAGAAGCAGAGGAACAGGAACAGGAGGAGAAACGCCGGAAUUACCAAAGUCAACCAGACGGCAGUCUCCGUCUUCCUCCGCCGCCGCCUCCGACAACCCUGAUUCCCCUAAAGCCGCCGCCUCCAAGCCGCGACAAAACAGGCGGCACCAUUCCAAAGACGGCUCCGACGUUUCCAAAUCCUCUGAACUAGGAGGCCUCACCGCAUCUGAAUCAUCCGCCCCACACCUCCCCAAGAAGACCCGGCGGAAGAAGUCUAAGGAAUCCGACGCCAUCGGCACUCCCUCCUCUUGCAGAAAAUCAUCCAGAGCGGCCCCCUCCCACCCCGCCGCCGCCGCCGCCGCAACCUCCGCUCCUGACGGCGAGGCAGAUAACGGCGACCAUUGUGAAGAAGCUCCGGCGAAGGAGGAUUAUGGCGGCAAGUAGCCUGACGUGGCUCCAUUUCCAUCUUUUAUUCAGAUUUUGGUUACGUUGUUGGUAACUAUGCGGAGUUCGAUCCUAUUACCACCUCUCAAAAUGGUAACAGAGAUGUGUCAUCACACUCAAUGUUGCAGAACGCUCUAGGCGCUAGUCGGGCGCCUAGGCAGUGCCUAGACGACCAAGUAAUCUAAGUAUAUCGUCUUUACUUUUUUCAAUCAGGGUUAGAAGUUGUUAGAUUAUUAUAAUUCUCAAACUAGUCAAUUGCAUAUGUUAGAUGGUUAGUUGAGUACAUGGCUGAAGAAAUAUAAACGAGGAGUAACCGAGUAGGAAAAAAGUCACUCAACCGAGUUAACCACCAACUUGAUCGAGUUGGACACUAAUUCGAUCGAGUUAGGCACCUGACUCGACUGAAUUAGGCGCUCAACUUUACCGGCUAAAAGCCGUCUAGAGCUAAAGUUGCCUCAACCUCAGAGCGCCUAGUUGACGGUCACCUAGAUCGAUCUUUACAAUACUGAUCACACUACAUAAUGUGUAGUUAAUAUGAUUACGUAUCUUUCCCUUUAUAUUAUUAAUUAAACAUAAACUAAUUCAAAUUAUAACAUUUUUAAAAAGUCUAAUACGAUAAAAUAAGAAUAAGAAUAAAAAUAUUCAAUUAAAAAAAAAAAGAAUAAAAAUAUUCCUACCGUCAUAAGGACGCUAAAGGGGUAUAAAGGCGUGCGCGUAAAGCAAAACGGUCUUUCUUGUUUUUUCAAAACGGUUAAUUUACGCGGGUCCGAAGUCCGAAACACAACCUCCCCCCCCCCCCCCCCCCCCCC
This is an RNA transcript of Ipomoea triloba (trilobed morning glory), 1722 nucleotides long. It is a transcript of the gene named CRIB domain-containing protein RIC7-like, with no coding region annotated. NCBI's taxonomy places the organism in Eukaryota, Viridiplantae, Streptophyta, Magnoliopsida, Solanales, Convolvulaceae. The transcript is spliced from 5 exons. The record is from RefSeq and is a predicted model, not a curated record.